This 168-nucleotide ribosomal RNA is filed under the name uncultured bacterium. RNAcentral describes it as "partial 16S rRNA". It matches the Rfam family "Bacterial small subunit ribosomal RNA", at positions 352 to 511 of the family's 1533-position model. The record is from RNAcentral.
CAGUAGGGAAUCUUCCACAAUGGACGGAAAGUCUGAUGGAGCAACGCCGCGUGAGUGAAGAAGGGUUUCGGCUCGUAAAACUCUGUUGUUAAAGAAGAACAUAUCUGAGAGCAACUGUUCAGGUAUUGACGGUAUUUAACCAGAAAGCCACGGCUAACUACGUGCCAG